Molecule: long non-coding RNA, 1308 nt
Organism: Lolium rigidum
Lineage: Eukaryota; Viridiplantae; Streptophyta; Magnoliopsida; Poales; Poaceae
Exons: 3
Source: RefSeq, a predicted model, not a curated record
GGCGACGAUGAAGAGCAGGUAUGUGUCUACAGCUAAGCCUUUUUCUCUUUCUCUGAUUCGUCUCUAGGUCAAUGCUCAUGUACAGAUCCCUGGACAAAUAUGGACGUACUUUUGAUUUAAAAAUGAGAUCAUGUAACAUAUUCAGUAUUUGGAUAUAACCGUGAAUUUCAGUCUGACUGUGAGUACUUGGAUUAUCUAUGUUACAAUAGUAUAGUCUGAGCACUUGGAUUUUUUUUCACCUGUUCAACGUUGAAUUUUAGUACCCUGAAUUAACGUAACAAAUAAUUCUUUCAAUAUCAGGGGCAGCAAGAUAUAGGUACUGUACCCAACUUUUUCUCACGAUAUUUUACAUUAUUGCUUUUGACCCAUGGCGUAAAAUCUGUCUUGAUAAAUGUCGCGCAGGUGGUGUUGCUUCCUCUAUUUUUUGUCAUCUUAUUAUGAUGAUGUCGUUUCCCCUCUGUUGACCUAUUGCCAAACUAUACCAUACAUUAGUUUGAAAGAAGGAAUUGCAAAAAAAAAGGUUAUCUGUUUUAGUUUUCCCAGGGGUGUAUUCAGUGCACUUGCAGUUGGGGUUGAGCCAAACUAAUCUUAGAUCAGUUCUGCAUCAAUUCUUAUAUUGUCCCCAAAAUUAUGGAACUAUAUAUGUUUUAUCAUAGGUUUACUUAUCAGUGUUGCAGAUAUUUUUGGUAAUAUGGAGCUCAAGGAAGGUGUCAAAUCUCAUAUACUGGCUACUCAUAUCACACCGUUGACAUGCUUAGAAGGAAGACCAUUGCACCUCUCAAAGGAAACAGAACUAGAUAUACUGUAGUGAGGAUAUAAUAAACAUGUGUGUAAUAAGGGAAAAUGUGAGGUCAAGAAGAACAUGGAUCUCUCUAAUUCAGACCUUCCAGUGAUGGUUGAACAUAUAUAUAUCCCUCUGCAAGCAUUUCUAUGAUCCUGCCACUAGAGCAGUUGCCUUCAAGUACGAAGCUCAUGGUUGUUGUACUAAAGGAAACUGAUGCUUUGAAAAAGAACAAGGAAAAACAUAUGUGUGAAAAUGAUGAAGUUGAUCAUAGCAAGUGGACAGAGGUGCCCAGAGCUAACCUUAUAGCAACUAUUCAUGUUAUUUGCUAGCCGAGGAGGAUUCGCCAGGGUGGCAGCAAACUGGUAUGCACUUUCUUCGGUAAUAUUGAUUAACAUGAACAUUGGUCGUCAAACUAAUAUUUUAUUUUCUCAUUGUUAAAUUAUGUAGGUGUAUCAUUGCAAAAUGAGCAUUUGAGUAUGAGGAACAUCCCAGAAAAUCCAUGGCAAGAUCAACUCUCGGUUUGG